This is a long non-coding RNA of Nematostella vectensis (starlet sea anemone), 297 nucleotides long. RefSeq lists it as uncharacterized. NCBI's taxonomy places the organism in Eukaryota, Metazoa, Cnidaria, Anthozoa, Actiniaria, Edwardsiidae. The transcript is spliced from 2 exons. The record is from RefSeq and is a predicted model, not a curated record.
GCAUACCAGAGCGUGUUUAGAUGUGGGACUUUGUUCGACGUUUGCAUCUAACCUCUCAAAAGAUGCGCUAUUUCUUUCAAUCACAUCAAAUCAGAUGGCAAAUCUAACAAUGAAAACAUUUUGAUCAAAUUGCUUUAAUUUUGAAGAGAUAACAGAGCGUUAAAAGUGAAAACCCAGCGACUGCAUGAGAACUCAACAGUAAGAAUGAAGACAAAGCUCGCUGAAAUUGUAGCCGAAAGAGAGCAUCAGGGCUUUCAGACACAGCAGUAAUAUGAUGCACUGGAUGCUACGGGCUGG